Molecule: ribosomal RNA, 371 nt
Filed under: uncultured organism
Description: partial 16S ribosomal RNA
Rfam family: Bacterial small subunit ribosomal RNA
Source: RNAcentral
GUAGGUGGCAAGCGUUGUCCGGAAUUAUUGGGCGUAAAGCGCGCGCAGGCGGUUCUUUAAGUCUGAUGUGAAAGCCCACGGCUCAACCGUGGAGGGUCAUUGGAAACUGGAGAACUUGAGUACAGAAGAGGAAAGCGGAAUUCCACGUGUAGCGGUGAAAUGCGUAGAGAUGUGGAGGAACACCAGUGGCGAAGGCGGCUUUCUGGUCUGCAACUGACGCUGAGGCGCGAAAGCGUGGGGGAGCAAACAGGAUUAGAUACCCUGGUAGUCCACGCCGUAAACGAUGAGUGCUAAGUGUUAGGGGGUUUCCGCCCCUUAGUGCUGCAGCUAACGCAUUAAGCACUCCGCCUGGGAGUACGGCCGCAAGGCUG